This 253-nucleotide ribosomal RNA is filed under the name uncultured bacterium. Its description in RNAcentral is "partial 16S ribosomal RNA". It matches the Rfam family "Bacterial small subunit ribosomal RNA", at positions 524 to 776 of the family's 1533-position model. The record is from RNAcentral.
GACGUAGGGCGCGAGCGUUGUCCGGAUUUAUUGGGCGUAAAGAGCUCGUAGGCGGCUUGUCGCGUCGUCCGUGAAAACCUGGGGCUCAACUCCAGGAUUGCGGUCGAUACGGGCAGGCUAGAGUUCGGUAGGGGAGACUGGAAUUCCUGGUGUAGCGGUGAAAUGCGCAGAUAUCAGGAGGAACACCGGUGGCGAAGGCGGGUCUCUGGGCCGAUACUGACGCUGAGGAGCGAAAGCGUGGGGAGCGAACAGG